Long non-coding RNA from Astyanax mexicanus (Mexican tetra), 1126 nucleotides. RefSeq lists it as uncharacterized. The transcript has 3 exons. The record is from RefSeq and is a predicted model, not a curated record. NCBI's taxonomy places the organism in Eukaryota, Metazoa, Chordata, Actinopteri, Characiformes, Acestrorhamphidae.
CAUGUGUACCAGGAAUCCGUCACAGUACAUGAGUGGUAAUGAUUGUGACCGGCGAUGCCUGGCUAGGACUGUCCAUGCGAACAGACAAGCGACAAUGGCAGAAUUUACAUCCCCAUUAAAUGCAGGAAACCACAUAUAGAGAUGUUGUGUCUCAGUAAGGUCAGUAGGUGGAGUAGCAGAGCUCAGAGAAAGCUGCUUGUGAACACACUCCCUAUAUGCGUAUCUGUGAAAAUGACCUUCAGCGCUGACUGGACACAGACUCUCACGUUUGCAUCAGCAGCUUUACCCUCAGAUCCUGUUCCUCCAUCCGUCACAGAGCCUCUCUGCCUCCCCAUGCAGAUCAAUGGAGCAGGGGCUGCGGUGUAAGGUGAGACUUGGCCCAGGUUUAUGCAGCCUGCACUGUGCUUUAUAUUAUGGUGGUAUUUGUGCUUCAUUUUCAGUCAUGUAGAAUUUUUGGGAACCGAGGGAUAACAUUCUCCUGACUCACGGUCAAAAAUAGCAGUGAAACUCAGAGAGGAAGAGGAAUAUUCACGAUAUGGUUUAAAAUAGGACAUGGAGGAAAUGAGGGUAAGGAUAUGAUGCAAAUUCAUAGCUAAAGCUUAAGACAUGCACGCUGCAGAUGCAGAUAAAUGGUAAGAAAAGCAGCUCUUCUACAGAUCAGAGCACAAUUCUUCUGCAGUGCAUAAUGAUUAUAUAAAAUAACAUUACAUUUGGCAGAUGCUUUUGUCCAAAGAGACUUUAUGUACAAAUAUUGAUGUACAUAUAAUGUACAUCAAACCUGGGCCAAGUCACUUUUUUUUUUUUUUUCUCACUUUUGUUUUUAUCUAUUAUUUAUUUGAUAUUUAUUCACUGUUACUCUUGUGCAAUAAUACUGGUCCACCCUACCAUAAUCAUAUCUCUAUGCACUAGAUGUAUAUAUAUAUAUUUUUUUUUUCUUUUACUAUAUAUAAUUUUUUAAACUCUUUAUAUAUUUUCCUACAAUAGGUUUUCUGUAUAUAUAGAUUUAUCAUUAUUUGUAUUUACCUUUUCCUGACCUGUUUCUCUGUCCUUUACUCUGCACUGCUGUAACAUGGUAAAUUUCCCCAUUGUGGGAUUAAUAAAGGAUUAUCUUAUCUUAUCUUAUCUU